UUUUUUUUUUUUUUUUUCCUCCCCUCAAUCCUCCUAAGAAAUUACCAGAAUAAGAAAAGAAAAAUAGUGAAAUAAUAAAGCUGCUUUUGUUGUUGAUGUUUUCGUUCAAAUUGUAUAAAUAAAAGCAUGGGUAGAAAAAAAAUUUUUGAGUUUAUCCAAAACUGCAUCUCCUUUUAUACAUACUUCAAACUCAUCCUCAAAUAAAUUUGCCUUCUCAUUCAUGAACCUAAUCACCAUCUGAGAAUCUAAUAUUAGAAAGGAAUACGAAAAAAAGGGGUGGGAAGCUACAAUUACACCAAAACU
This 303-nucleotide unclassified non-coding RNA is filed under the name Hevea brasiliensis (rubber tree). The record is from RNAcentral. Lineage: Eukaryota; Viridiplantae; Streptophyta; Magnoliopsida; Malpighiales; Euphorbiaceae.